RNAcentral lists this ribosomal RNA (492 nucleotides) under uncultured bacterium. RNAcentral describes it as "partial 16S ribosomal RNA". It matches the Rfam family "Bacterial small subunit ribosomal RNA", at positions 29 to 507 of the family's 1533-position model. The record is from RNAcentral.
AGUGAACGCUGGCGGCAGGCCUAACACAUGCAAGUCGAACGGCAGCACAGUAAGAGCUUGCUCUUACGGGUGGCGAGUGGCGGACGGGUGAGGAAUACAUCGGAAUCUACUUUUUCGUGGGGGAUAACGUGGGGAAACUUACGCUAAUACCGCAUACGACCUACGGGUGAAAGCAGGGGAUCUUCGGACCUUGCGCGAUUGAAUGAGCCGAUGUCGGAUUAGCUAGUUGGCGGGGUAAAGGCCCACCAAGGCGACGAUCCGUAGCUGGUCUGAGAGGAUGAUCAGCCACACUGGAACUGAGACACGGUCCAGACUCCUACGGGAGGCAGCAGUGGGGAAUAUUGGACAAUGGGCGCAAGCCUGAUCCAGCCAUACCGCGUGGGUGAAGAAGGCCUUCGGGUUGUAAAGCCCUUUUGUUGGGAAAGAAAAGCAGCAGGUUAAUACCCCGCUGUUCUGACGGUACCCAAAGAAUAAGCACCGGCUAACUUCGUG